Molecule: ribosomal RNA, 451 nt
Filed under: uncultured bacterium
Lineage: Bacteria
Description: partial 16S ribosomal RNA
Rfam family: Bacterial small subunit ribosomal RNA
Source: RNAcentral
GAUGAACGCUGGCGGCGUGCCUAACACAUGCAAGUCGAGCGGCAGCGAGGGGUGCUUGCACCCUGUCGGCGAGCGGCGGACGGCUGAGUAACGCGUGGGAACGUGCCCCAAAGUGAGGAAUAACUGCCCGAAAGGGUAGCUAAUACCGCAUAUUAUCUUCGGAUCAAAGGAUUUAUCCGCUUUGGGAGCGGCUCGCGUCGGAUUAGGUAGUUGGUGAGGUAAUGGCUCACCAAGCCGACGAUCCGUAGCUGGUCUGAGAGGAUGACCAGCCAGACUGGAACUGAGACACGGUCCAGACUCCUACGGGAGGCAGCAGUGGGGAAUCUUCCACAAUGGGCGAAAGCCUGAUGGAGCAACGCCGCGUGCAGGACGAAGGCCUUCGGGUUGUAAACUGCUUUUAUAAGUGAGGAAUAUGACGGUAACUUAUGAAUAAGGAUCGGCUAACUACGUG